CUUAGAAUGCAGUCGAACGGAAUCUUCGGAUUCAGUGGCGGACGGGUGAGUAACACUUGAAGAAUCUACUGAGUAGUGGGGGACAGCCCGGCGAAAGUCGGAUUAAUACCGCAUACGCCCUACGGGGGAAAGGCGCAAGCCGCUAUUUAAUGAGCCCGCGUAAGAUUAGCUAGUUGGUAAGGUAAAGGCUUACCAAGGCAACGAUCUUUAGCUGGUCUGAGAGGAUGGCCAGCCACAUCGGGACUGAGACACGGCCCGGACUCCUACGGGAGGCAGCAGUCGGGAAUAUUGGACAAUGGGCGCAAGCCUGAUCCAGCAAUACCGCGUGUGUGAAGAAGGCCUGCGGGUUGUAAAGCACUUUCAGUUGGGAAGAUAAUGACGUUACCAACNUNNNGAGCACCGGCUAACUCCGUGCCAGCAGCCGCGGUAAUACGGAGGGUGCAAGCGUUAAUCGGAAUUACUGGGCGUAAAGCGUGCGUAGGCGGUUUAUUAAGUCAGAUGUGAAAUCCCCGGGCUCAACCUGGGAACUGCAUCUGAUACUGGUAGACUAGAGUGUGGGAGAGGAGAGUGGAAUUUCCGGUGUAGCGGUGAAAUGCAUAGAGAUCGGAAGGAACAUCANUGGCGAAGGCGACUCUCUGGACCAACACUGACGCUGAGGCACGAAAGCGUGGGUAGCAAACANGAUUAGAUACCCUGGUAGUCCACGCCGUAAACGAUGUCAACUAGCCGUCAGGCUCGCUUUANAGUUUGGUGGUGGAGCUAACNUAUUAAGUUGACCNCNUGGGGAGUACNCUCGNNAGANUAAAACUCAAANGAAUUGACGGGGGCCCGCACAGCGGUGGAANCAUGUGGUUUNAUUCNAUGCAAC
RNAcentral lists this ribosomal RNA (868 nucleotides) under uncultured Pseudomonadota bacterium. Its description in RNAcentral is "uncultured proteobacterium partial 16S ribosomal RNA". It matches the Rfam family "Bacterial small subunit ribosomal RNA", at positions 48 to 960 of the family's 1533-position model. Lineage: Bacteria; Pseudomonadati; Pseudomonadota. The record is from RNAcentral.